AACACGCUGUGAGCAAUCUGCCCUUGACUCUGGGAUAACUGCGGGAAACUGUAGCUAAUACCGGAUACGAGAUUCGGAGGCAUCUCCGGAUCUGGAAAGAAUUUCGGUCAAGGAUGAGCUCGCGGCCUAUCAGCUUGUUGGUGAGGUAAUGGCUCACCAAGGCGACGACGGGUAGCCGGCCUGAGAGGGUGACCGGCCACACUGGGACUGAGACACGGCCCAGACUCCUACGGGAGGCAGCAGUGGGGAAUAUUGCACAAUGGGCGAAAGCCUGAUGCAGCAACGCCGCGUGAGGGAUGAAGGCCUUCGGGUUGUAAACCUCUUUUAGCAGGGAAGAAGCGAAAGUGACGGUACCUGCAGAAAAAGCACCGGCUAACUACGUGCCAGCAGCCGCGGUAAUACGUAGGGUGCAAGCGUUGUCCGGAAUUAUUGGGCG
This 436-nucleotide ribosomal RNA is filed under the name uncultured Actinomycetes bacterium. Its description in RNAcentral is "bacterial SSU rRNA". It matches the Rfam family "Bacterial small subunit ribosomal RNA", at positions 109 to 560 of the family's 1533-position model. Lineage: Bacteria; Bacillati; Actinomycetota; Actinomycetes. The record is from RNAcentral.